RNAcentral lists this ribosomal RNA (720 nucleotides) under uncultured bacterium. RNAcentral's name for it is "bacterial SSU rRNA". It matches the Rfam family "Bacterial small subunit ribosomal RNA", at positions 387 to 1117 of the family's 1533-position model. The record is from RNAcentral.
CGGAGCAAUGCCGCGUGCAGGAUGAAGCCUUUCGGGGUGUAAACUGCUGUCMGGGUUUACUAAGUUCUGAAGAGACCCAAAGGAAGGGCCGGCUAACUCUGUGCCAGCAGCCGCGGUAAUACAGAGGGCCCGAGCGUUGCGCGGAAUCACUGGGCUUAAAGCGUACGUAGGCGGAUGUGAAGGUACCUUGUGAAAGCCCCCGGCUCAACCGGGGAAUUGCUCGGUAAACCACAUAUCUUGAGGUCGGUAGGGGUCGUCGGAACGCUGGGUGGAGCGGUGAAAUGCGUAGAUAUCCAGCGGAACGCCAAAGGCGAAGGCAGACGACUGGGCCGAUUCUGACGCUGAGGUACGAAAGCGUGGGUAGCGAACGGGAUUAGAUACCCCGGUAGUCCACGCCCUAAACGAUGUGCRUUAGGUCGUGGGAGUUCUGACACUUCCUCGAUCGAAGCGAAAGUGAUUAAUGCACCGCCUGGGGAGUACGGUCGCAAGGCUAAAACUCAAAGGAAUUGACGGGGGCUCACACAAGCGGUGGAGCAUGUGGCUUAAUUCGAAGCAACGCGAAGAACCUUAUCCUGGGCUUGACAUGUAUGGAUUAACUCUGUGAAAGCAGAGCCACGCCUUCGGGUGGAACAUACACAGGUGCUGCAUGGCUGUCGUCAGCUCGUGCUGUGAAGUGUCGGGUUAAGUCCCUUAACGAGCGCAACCCCCUGUCCUUAGUUG